This 775-nucleotide ribosomal RNA is filed under the name uncultured Neocallimastigales. RNAcentral's name for it is "partial large subunit ribosomal RNA". It matches the Rfam family "Eukaryotic large subunit ribosomal RNA", at positions 22 to 637 of the family's 3401-position model. The record is from RNAcentral. Lineage: Eukaryota; Fungi; Neocallimastigomycota; Neocallimastigomycetes; Neocallimastigales.
CUAUACAUGACUCUGCGCAUAUCAAUAAGCGGAGGAAAAGAAACUAACAAGGAUUCCCUUAGUAACGGCGAGUGAAGCGGGAAGAGCUCAAAUUUGAAAUCUUAAAGGGUUUCCCUUUACGAAUUGUAGUUUAAAGAAGUGUUUUCUGUUGAGGUUUUGGUAAAAGUUCUUUGGAAUAGGACAUCAUAGAGGGUGAGAAUCCCGUAUUUGACCUUUACUUUCAACUUUGUGAUACACUUUCAAAGAGUCGGAUUGCUUGGGAAUGCAGUCCAAAAUGGGUGGUAAAUUUCAUCUAAAGCUAAAUAUUGGCGAGAGACCGAUAGCGAACAAGUACCGUGAGGGAAAGAUGAAAAGAACUUUGAAAAGAUGAGUUAAACAGUACGUGAAAUUGUCAAAAGGGAAGCGUUUGACACCAGUGUUGUUUUUCUGAAAAUCAAUUAAAGAACUGUUUAUGCUAAGUUGUUUAGACUUUAUCAGCUAACUGUUUAGUUUUGAGCUUUUCUUUAAUGCACUUUUCAGUUAACAAGUCGACAUCAAUUUCUUUUGCUGUAAAAAAGCUUGAGGAAGGUGGCUUGAGAUUCGUCUUAAGUGUUUAUAGCCUCUUGCCUAUGCAGUCGGAGAGAUUGAGGUCUGCAGCGUAGAUCCUUCGGGGCUAAAUGCAUUUGUGCUAAGUUAUAGCAUUUUAUAGACAACUUGUUGACUAUGAUUAGUCUUGUAGCUUACUCGCUUAUGCUAUUUUACCUACGCUUAGGAUGUUGACAGCAGUAUAGACUGU